AGAGAUGGUAGACCAUUAAGCCUACACGUUGUUUCUGACGUGUGUAGCAUGGUCCACUAAUUCU
Loxodonta africana (African savanna elephant) is the source of this 64-nucleotide microRNA precursor. NCBI's taxonomy places the organism in Eukaryota, Metazoa, Chordata, Mammalia, Proboscidea, Elephantidae. The record is from Rfam.